AAUUUGUUUACAGUAGGUGCAAACUUAUGAUAAAUAGAUUAUAGACCUAUAAUAAUAGAAUGAACUAUAUAUAGUUCACAGAAAUUAUCUCAAAACACAAAGAAUCCUUUGCUUACGCAUAUAAGACAACCUAGGUUUUUGAAGUAGUGAAAAAUGAAUGAAAACCUAAUCUUAUACCUACCUGAGAAAGUCUCCCAUUACAUUUUCUCAAAGGCAGCAUGACACUUUCUCGUGAUCUUCUGGAUGGCCGAUAUCAUCCAUGAAUAUCGCCAGAGACAGCCGAAAAAAGUCAGUCGUCUGUCCCUCUGUCAAAGGAAAUCUGCACCGAUUACUCCAGGAAUAUCGUCGACCAGUGCCCAUUUGGAUACCUUGUGCCAUUGGAUACAUUGUGCUAGUGGAUAUUAUAGUGGAACUAAUCACCAUCGGAACUAUUCUCAAUCAACGAGAGCUCCAUUGGGAGAUCACCUUUUAUCACCAGGCUUGCACACUAGACAGAUAUGAAAAUUCAAAUGUUCAAAAUAAUUUGAAUUUUAUUCCUGAGGAAGUUCAUUCAAAUGGCCAAAAACGUUUGAUUAGUUAAUAAAAAGCUGCA
Molecule: long non-coding RNA, 592 nt
Organism: Centruroides sculpturatus (bark scorpion)
Lineage: Eukaryota; Metazoa; Arthropoda; Arachnida; Scorpiones; Buthidae
Exons: 3
Source: RefSeq, a predicted model, not a curated record